Long non-coding RNA from Dalotia coriaria, 514 nucleotides. RefSeq lists it as uncharacterized. The record is from RefSeq and is a predicted model, not a curated record. The transcript has 3 exons. Lineage: Eukaryota; Metazoa; Arthropoda; Insecta; Coleoptera; Staphylinidae.
GCAAAUAGUCAAUUUUCAAUUUGUUUGAUUCGAUGUGUUGCGACAUAUCUUCGAUAGGAUUAGGUUUAUUUCCAGUCCAUGGACCACCUAAAAAAUACAAAUAGAUAUUGCAUCAUAAUGAAGAACGGAUAUUUUCAUUUGCUGCAAGCAUCAUGUUACACGCUUUCAAAUUACUUGCAUUAAGCUGGAAUUUAAUAAACACGCACGUGGUUAGAUUGAUGGUAAGCCGAUUAUGUGUCUGCGCAUUAUUAAACAAUUAGCUACACCUGAAGCAAGCGCGAUCGGGAUUGCAACAACGUCAUUUUUUGCGCACAAAUAUCAAUGGAGGUUGUCAUUGAUGGUCGAUAAAAAGCGUUCACAUUUAUCGCACGCUUCCGAAAUGGCCGCCGAUGAUUCAAGCAACUGUUGCAACUCACUGACAAAUCUUUCAUGCAAUACAUCCACUUUAUUUGUCAGCGUUUUUAACGCAGCUUCAUCUAUAAUAUUGAAAUAAAGAAGAAUGCUAAUAGAUAAA